AACGAACGCUGGCGGCAGGCUUAACACAUGCAAGUCGAACGCCCCGCCAGGGGAGUGGCAGACGGGUGAGUAACGCGUGGGAACAUACCCUUUUCUACGGAAUAGCUCUGGGAAACUGGAAUUAAUACCGUAUACGCCCUACGGGGGAAAGAUUUAUCGGGGAAGGAUUGGCCCGCGUUGGAUUAGCUAGUUGGUGGGGUAAAGGCCUACCAAGGCGACGAUCCAUAGCUGGUCUGAGAGGAUGAUCAGCCACAUUGGGACUGAGACACGGCCCAAACUCCUACGGGAGGCAGCAGUGGGGAAUAUUGGACAAUGGGCGCAAGCCUGAUCCAGCCAUGCCGCGUGAGUGAGGAAGGCCUUAGGGUUGUAAAGCUCUUUCACCGAUGAAGAUAAUGACGGUAGUCGGGGAAGAAGCCCCGGCUAACUUCGUG
RNAcentral lists this ribosomal RNA (431 nucleotides) under uncultured bacterium. Its description in RNAcentral is "partial 16S ribosomal RNA". It matches the Rfam family "Bacterial small subunit ribosomal RNA", at positions 29 to 507 of the family's 1533-position model. The record is from RNAcentral.